CUGCUCUGUAGAGAACACACUGGGAGAGGCAGCGCAAGGGCAGCCGUCACAGACCAUCUGGGGACCCAGCUCUGUCCAGAUGAGGGACAGUGAUGGCUUGAACUAGGGAGCCGGUAGAGGGUCUUGUGCAGAGUGGUGGGAUUUGGGGCAACUUUGCAAGGCAGCUCGGACAAAACCUAUCGGCAGAGUCCCUGAAUCCUCGACUUCUUUCUAGAAUUCUCUAUUUUCUAGAAUGACUGCCUUCCAGGGGAAAAUGGACCCAGAGAAGCUUCUGGUCUGGACCUGCUAAGGCUUGCUGCUCCCCCCGCAUCAUGGGUGGGUGGGCUGUGAUGGCAGCUCCAGCCUCAGCAAGCCCCUGGCAACAGGAAACUCCGUUCCAACACCACAAGGCUUACACUGUAGGCCUGCUUCUGCCCUUGGGCCCCCAGACAAGUCUGAUCUUGAGGGGAUGUGGCUGAGCUUGUCCUGUGGGCUGCUGUCAGUCCUACCCACCCUGAGUCCUGGGGGCCACACCUCCCCAGCCCUCCAGGCUCUCCCUGCUCACCUCUCUGCCAAGGCCCACACUCAACAUGAGUUUUCUCUUCAUCUACAGAACCUUCCAGUGACUGAUUGGUAUGGAAACUUUCUAUGGUUUCAGAAAAUGAUCAGUAGGGCCUGGAAUCAAUAGCUUUAUUCACAUUGUGGGAUAAAAGGUUAAUUUGACCCUUUCCAGGGGUGUUUUUAUAUUUAUAGCCUUUAAAACAAGAAUGAGGGCCAGGCACAGUGGCUCACACCUGUGAUCCCAGCACUUUGGGAGGCUGAGGAGGGCUGAUCGCUUGAGGUCAUCAGGAGUUGGAGACCAGCCUAGUCAACGUGGUGAAACCCCGUCUCUACUAAAAAUACAAAACUUAGCCUGGCAUGGUGGCAUGAACCUAUAGUCCCAGAUACUCAGGAGACUAAGGCAGGAGAAUCGCUUGAACCUUGGAGGCAGAGGCUCCAGUGAGCCAAGAUUGCACCACUGCACUCCAACCUGGGUGACAGAGCAAAACUCCAUCUCAAAAAAAAAAAAAAAAAAGAGUUAUGGAAGGGAAGAUAGAGGCAUUGAUGACUGCUUGAUGCAGAGAUGUGGGGGGCGAGGUCAUCAUUGUGGUGACCACACACAAAUUCACAUCAUGUGCACUAGGAGUGGGAAGUACCUGUCCCUUGCCAAGUCUGUGUGGGCCGUAUGUAGUAGUGAGGAUCUGGUGCCCAUGACAACAAAGCAUGCCACGAUUGAUUGGUGAUGUCUGCCCUGGGCUGGGGCGGGGCAGUUUGCCUCUCAGGACCGGGAUGCUGUUUGGCUUUGAGAGAAUCUGCUUCUCUCUUUGCGCGUGAUUCUGCCAUGGUUUCCUGUACCAGCAGUACACCUGGAAGUACACGACUCACACUCACAGUUUUCCAGGUAAGUCAUAGACAAUGUACAUGUACCUUCAGAAUCAAGCAGAAACUUCUAGCAAGGACAGUGUGCUGGAAAUCAGGAGUUCUGCGUUUUAGACCAGAAUCCCUCAACAAUUGCACCGUGACAUUUUAGACACAAUAAUUCUUUGUCUUGGGGGUCGUGCUGUGAAACGUCCCUCGGUGCACAGGACCUGUACACUGCACUCCAGCCUGGGUGACAGAGUAAAACUCCAUCUCAAAAAAAAAAAAAAA
Macaca fascicularis (crab-eating macaque) is the source of this 1668-nucleotide long non-coding RNA. The record is from Ensembl. NCBI's taxonomy places the organism in Eukaryota, Metazoa, Chordata, Mammalia, Primates, Cercopithecidae.